Molecule: ribosomal RNA, 253 nt
Filed under: uncultured bacterium
Lineage: Bacteria
Description: partial 16S ribosomal RNA
Rfam family: Bacterial small subunit ribosomal RNA
Source: RNAcentral
UACAGAGGGUGCAAGCGUUAAUCGGAAUUACUGGGCGUAAAGCGUGCGUAGGUGGAUAUUUUAGUCGAAUGUGAAAGCCCCGGGCUUAACCUGGGAACUGCAUCCGAUACUGAAUAUCUAGAGUAUGGUAGAGGAAAGUGGAAUUCCCGGUGUAGUGGUGAUAUGCGUAGAUAUCGGGAGGAACACCUGUGGCGAAGGCGGCUUUCUGGGCCCUACCUGACGCUGAGACGCGAAAGCGUGGGGAGCGAACCGG